Molecule: non-coding RNA, 123 nt
Organism: Picea glauca (white spruce)
Lineage: Eukaryota; Viridiplantae; Streptophyta; Pinopsida; Pinales; Pinaceae
Source: Rfam
AUGUACAUUCCUACAACAUAAUGCUAUUGCACCAGAUCCCAUUAGAACUUCAUAGCUAAGCUUGCUCAGGAUAAAGUAGUACUAGGAUGGGUGACCCCAUGGGAGGACCUAGAAUUUUACAUU